GGAAGUAAAAGUCAUAACAAGGUUUCCGUAGGUGAACCUGCGGAAGGAUCAUUAUUGUAUAACCGAGGUGCGAGGGCUGUCGCUGACCCGAAAGGUCGUGCACGCCCGAGUGCCCUCACACACAUCCAUCUCACCCCUAUGUGCACCACCGCGUGGGUCCCCCUUUGGCUUGUUCGGAGGGGGGCUUACGUUUUCACACAAACUUUGUAUGCAGUGUAGAAUGUAUUUUUUGUUUUUGCGAUCACGCAAUCAAUACAACUUUCAACAACGGAUCCCUUGGCUCUC
Molecule: unclassified non-coding RNA, 285 nt
Filed under: plant metagenome
Description: partial contains small subunit ribosomal RNA and internal transcribed spacer 1
Rfam family: Eukaryotic small subunit ribosomal RNA (bases 1-54)
Source: RNAcentral